Molecule: unclassified non-coding RNA, 351 nt
Filed under: Moritella viscosa
Lineage: Bacteria; Pseudomonadati; Pseudomonadota; Gammaproteobacteria; Alteromonadales; Moritellaceae
Description: putative sRNA
Source: RNAcentral
UUCACCUAAACACCACCGAUACAGUGGGGAAAUAGUAGAAACCUUCCACAUUAAUAGAUCAGUCAAAUUACGCAUACCAAUUCCAAUAGCGAGUCAAAGGACGGUGUUGGACUACGUGGGAUUGCCUUACGCACAGAUUCAGCACGUGAAAAUACCGGAUAUGGAUAAGAGUACAUUUUUAGGGGUAAUAACGAGAGUUUAUUGGGAAAUAUUUUCAGGGAUAUAAAUUAAGAGAAGAUUACGUCAGUUGUUCAUUGUACCAGAAACAACAAAGCCCCAACUUUCGUUGAGGCUCUAUUACUUAAAUAUGGUGCCCGAGGGCGGACUUGAACCGCCACUCCGUUAGGAAGA